CCCUAAUAACAAUGGGCAUAUGUGAGCCCAGGAUGUAGGAACAUCAGUUUCACUCAGUGGUUGUCAAUGCUGCCUAGAGGAGGACACACAGUUGGUACUCUGGUAACAGGGAAAAGAACGUGCUAUUCUGGCAAGGAUAUGAGGGUGUUCUUGAAGCAAGUGUAUCUUCAACAUCUUGUCCAGCUGAAGGAAUAUAAACUUUGACAGCAUCUCCACCUGACAGCGUCUAGAAUUGAAGGGGCUGCUUCAGGGUUGGUACAGGUAAGAAGGGAAAAACAAAUCAUGCUUACUUCAGUUGAUUUACUUGAGGAAUGGAGAAGAAAAAGUAAAAGAGCCCAGAGUCACUUACAAAAGCAGGGACAUGAUGGCCAAGCAAGACAACACCACAGCAUAGUUCCUGCUUCCUGCAUUCUUUCCUGCAUGUGAGCAGUUCCACUCUCAGCUCAGCUAUGAGACGUGAGGCCAGUCUAGAUUUGGGUUUUUUGGCUCUUGGUGUGGUCUCUGCUCCAUUUCACAGAGAGAAUAAAUAGGAAUAUCAGCAAUUCA
Macaca mulatta (Rhesus monkey) is the source of this 546-nucleotide non-coding RNA. The record is from RefSeq and is a predicted model, not a curated record. Lineage: Eukaryota; Metazoa; Chordata; Mammalia; Primates; Cercopithecidae.